Molecule: ribosomal RNA, 406 nt
Filed under: uncultured bacterium
Lineage: Bacteria
Description: bacterial SSU rRNA
Rfam family: Bacterial small subunit ribosomal RNA
Source: RNAcentral
UGGGGAAUUUUCCGCAAUGGGCGAAAGCCUGACGGAGCAAUGCCGCGUGGAGGAAGAAGGCCCGUGGGUCGUAAACUCCUUUUCUCAGAGAAGAAAUUCUGACGGUAUUUGAGGAAUAAGCAUCGGCUAACUCUGUGCCAGCAGCCGCGGUAAUACAGAGGAUGCAAGCGUUAUCCGGAAUGAUUGGGCGUAAAGCGUCUGUAGGUGGCUUAUAAAGUCCCCUGUUAAAUGUUAGGGCUUAACCCUGAAAAAGCAGUGGAAACUUAUAGGCUUGGGUACGGUAGGGGCAAAGGGAAUUCCCGGUGUAGCGGUGAAAUGCGUAGAGAUCGGGAAGAACACCAAUGGCGAAAGCACUUUGCUGGGCCGAAACUGACACUGAGAGACGAAAGCUAGGGGAGCAAAUGGG